AUCCAAAGGAAUGGCCUAUUAUUGAGCCAUUGCCUUCUUAUGGAAGAGGGAGAGAGAGGUUAGGAGGAAGGCACAUAAGCCUCAUUCAUGGGGAUGGUCUCACAGAUGUUGUCAUUACAGGUACUCGAUAAGAAUGGGGCUGCUCCAGCUAGAAGUGUUUUGUCGUGGAUUCUAAUUUAAAUUUGAAAGUAUGCUUAGUAGCAGCUGUGGUUGAUAAUCUGGCCAUUUUUUUGACUUCUAAUGAAGGUGCUGCAGUGUUGGCAUGGGUUGCUUUGGCUCAUCUUUGUUUUUAAACAAUCUUUGGCUGGUCUUAGAAUUGUGAUUGUUGGUUGGUUAUAGAUGAUGGGUUUCAUA
RNAcentral lists this long non-coding RNA (354 nucleotides) under Rosa chinensis. RNAcentral describes it as "sRNA RchiOBHm_Chr6g0248301". Lineage: Eukaryota; Viridiplantae; Streptophyta; Magnoliopsida; Rosales; Rosaceae. The record is from RNAcentral.